GACGAACGCUGGCGGCGUGCUUAACACAUGCAAGUCGAACGGAAAGGCCCUGCUUUUGUGGGGUGCUCGAGUGGCGAACGGGUGAGUAACACGUGAGUAACCUGCCCUUGACUUUGGGAUAACUUCAGGAAACUGGGGCUAAUACCGGAUAGGAGCUCCUGCUGCAUAGUGGGGGUUGGAAAGUUUCGGCGGUUGGGGAUGGACUCGCGGCUUAUCAGCUUGUUGGUGGGGUAGUGGCUUACCAAGGCUUUGACGGGUAGCGGGCCUGAGAGGGUGACCGGCCACAUUGGGACUGAGAUACGGCCCAGACUCCUACGGGAGGCAGCAGUGGGGAAUAUUGCACAAUGGGCGGAAGCCUGAUGCAGCAACGCCGCGUGCGGGAUGACGGCCUUCGGGUUGUAAACCGCUUUCGCCUGUGACGAAGCGUGAGUGACGGUAAUGGGUAAAGAAGCACCGGCUAACUACGUG
This 468-nucleotide ribosomal RNA is filed under the name uncultured bacterium. RNAcentral describes it as "partial 16S ribosomal RNA". It matches the Rfam family "Bacterial small subunit ribosomal RNA", at positions 28 to 507 of the family's 1533-position model. The record is from RNAcentral.